UAGACGGGAAGACCCACCACCAAUAAGCUGAUAUACUGUGACAUGUUUACAAAACAGGUGUCAUUUCCUUCAAGAGAACAAGGGCCUCACUAACCAGCCAGGGAGAGACUCCCCGGAACGGCCCUUCUCUAGCAUGUCACCAAUGAUGUGUUGAUGCUUUUUGAGUGAGCUCUCGCCCUUUGGGAUACAACUGUUUAGGGAACUUUUCUGCAAAUCCAACUGAUCCUCCCUGUAAUCAUGAGAACCACAGGAAAUUAGGAGAACGUGCACUCUAGGCAAGAUGGCUUGGGUCUGAAGCCACGGAACUAGGGAGGGCCAUGAUGGUGGCACACAGUGUCCUUGUUGAGCUCCCCUGCCAGGCGCCACCUGGCCUGGAGGAGGGCAUCUUGCCUGUCCUGGGGGCUGAGCCAUCCACACUUCUUGCAUUGGGAUUUUUUUCGUCUUCUUUUAUAAUUACGAAGUGACCAGUAUUCAGUAUUCAAAGAUUAGAUCAACAGUUUUAGUCACUGUCUAAGACAUCUCUCUAGGGUGUGCCACUAUUUUAAAAAAUCAAACCCAAAGCAUCUGUCAAUGAAAAGAAAGCCAAAAAAACGUAGCCUUAAUUCAUUUUAACAUGCAGAGAUGAAAGAAGGAAGGAAGGAUGGAUGGAUGGAAGGGAGGAAGGGAGGGAGGAAGGAAGGAAAAGAGGGUGGUUUUGUACUGCAAACCCAAAUUUCAAAAUGAAAACAAUAGAGAAGGAAGAGGACUCAGACAAAACCUCAGGGGCAGGUGGAGAUUUUGCACUGAAAAGAUCCUUCAUGUUAAUUUCGCAUUUACAAACUGUCUGUUCUCCAAUACGGUGGCCCGUCAUGAAUAUUCAUUGAGUGGAUCCAAGUUUAUUCUCAGCUCCUACAGCUGUGCUGCAGUUUGAGGCUUUGGGCUAUGAGGUCAAGGAGAUCAAACCGGCUGUCCCUCUGUGACCCCUGGCCUUGCCCGACUGUGGGGAACGGGCCUUUGCUCUACUUAGGGACCCUGUCUACCAGAAAGGACACCCCAGAGAUAAGGGAGGCAGCCCCUCUGGUGAAUGCAUCAGGACAACAGCUUCUUGGCUCUGACUGCGGGGAAACCACAGCUGUCACCGCGAGCCCCUGCCAGCACCUCAUCCUUGGCGUCCAUUGUCUGUUGAAUCCUUUAUUCCUCCCACAGGGUCAAAGGAGGAGUCGGCAAGGAGGAGCCGGCCCGGGCUCUUCCUGCGCUCUCCGGAGGCUGUGGGCAGUAGGGACCUGACCUCGCUGGAGCCUUAGGAUGGGCGCCCCUGGCCCUGGGCACAACCUACAGUGUCCAGGGCUUUGGGGGCAGCGCCAGUAGCACAAAUCGGCCCGGGGCUGCGGCUCGGCUGCUGAUCUAGCUCUUGAAGUACCUUCUUGAAUCCGGAACUGAGGCUCCAAGGACAAACUCUGCAGUGGGGGGGGGGGGGGGGGGCCUGGUCCCUUCUUGCCUGACCUUUAGCACAACGGAAGCAAGAGUGGACGCCUGGGUCUCCCGCAGAUCUGACCCCAGGGCAUCCCCCCGGGGGAAGGUCCCUCCCGUGUCCCACUGUCUUGGUGUCGGUGUCGCUGGGCACAGAACUCAACCAAAUCUCAUAAUUUUCAUAACGUGAGCUCUGAAUCUUUAGAGGAGGACGCUCCUGAAGGACUUUUGUUAGAAUGUCCCUUUAAAACGCGUCUAUUUUUCUACAGUUUAACAGUGUAUUUUGUGUCAACUGUUAAAAUUUGGAGGUGAAACAAGUUCGUUAAGUCUGAAUUUUCUAAGCAGCAAGUAGUGAGUGGGGUUUUUCACGACGACGGUUG
Molecule: long non-coding RNA, 1829 nt
Filed under: Marmota monax (woodchuck)
Lineage: Eukaryota; Metazoa; Chordata; Mammalia; Rodentia; Sciuridae
Source: RNAcentral